Molecule: ribosomal RNA, 466 nt
Filed under: uncultured bacterium
Lineage: Bacteria
Description: partial 16S ribosomal RNA
Rfam family: Bacterial small subunit ribosomal RNA
Source: RNAcentral
GAUGAACGCUGGCGGCGUGCUUAACACAUGCAAGUCGAACGAUGAAGCCCAGCUUGCUGGGUGGAUUAGUGGCGAACGGGUGAGUAACACGUGAGUAACCUACCCUUAACUCUGGGAUAAGCCUGGGAAACUGGGUCUAAUACCGGAUAGGAGCGUCCACCGCAUGGUGGGUGUUGGAAAGAUUUAUCGGUUUUGGAUGGACUCGCGGCCUAUCAGCUUGUUGGUGAGGUAAUGGCUCACCAAGGCGACGACGGGUAGCCGGCCUGAGAGGGUGACCGGCCACACUGGGACUGAGACACGGCCCAGACUCCUACGGGAGGCAGCAGUGGGGAAUAUUGCACAAUGGGCGCAAGCCUGAUGCAGCGACGCCGCGUGAGGGAUGACGGCCUUCGGGUUGUAAACCUCUUUCAGUAGGGAAGAAGCGAAAGUGACGGUACCUGCAGAAGAAGCACCGGCUAACUACGUG